CUACGGGGGGCAGCAGUGGGGAAUAUUGCACAAUGGACGAAAGUCUGAUGCAGCAACGCCGCGUGGAGGAUGACACAUUUCGGUGCGUAAACUCCUUUUAUAUAAGAAGAUAAUGACGGUACUAUAUGAAUAAGCACCGGCUAACUCCGUGCCAGCAGCCGCGGUAAUACGGAGGGUGCAAGCGUUACUCGGAAUCACUGGGCGUAAAGAGCGUGUAGGCGGGUUAAUAAGUUGGAAGUGAAAUCCUAUGGCUCAACCAUAGAACUGCUUCCAAAACUGUUAACCUAGAAUAUGGGAGAGGUAGAUGGAAUUUCUGGUGUAGGGGUAAAAUCCGUAGAGAUCAGAAGGAAUACCGAUUGCGAAGGCGAUCUACUGGAACAUUAUUGACGCUGAGACGCGAAAGCGUGGGGAGCAAACAGGAUUAGAUACCCCGGUAGUC
This 439-nucleotide ribosomal RNA is filed under the name uncultured bacterium. RNAcentral describes it as "partial 16S ribosomal RNA". It matches the Rfam family "Bacterial small subunit ribosomal RNA", at positions 339 to 795 of the family's 1533-position model. The record is from RNAcentral.